This 29-nucleotide small RNA is filed under the name Bombyx mori (domestic silkworm). Its description in RNAcentral is "ovarian small RNA-22260". The record is from RNAcentral. Lineage: Eukaryota; Metazoa; Arthropoda; Insecta; Lepidoptera; Bombycidae.
UAGCAGAUGACCUGCACGCCACGCAGGUU